Molecule: ribosomal RNA, 497 nt
Filed under: uncultured bacterium
Lineage: Bacteria
Description: partial 16S ribosomal RNA
Rfam family: Bacterial small subunit ribosomal RNA
Source: RNAcentral
GAUGAACGCUGGCGGCGUGCCUAAUACAUGCAAGUCGAGCGAACGGACGAGAAGCUUGCUUCUCUGAUGUUAGCGGCGGACGGGUGAGUAACACGUGGAUAACCUACCUAUAAGACUGGGAUAACUUCGGGAAACCGGAGCUAAUACCGGAUAAUAUUUUGAACCGCAUGGUUCAAAAGUGAAAGACGGUCUUGCUGUCACUUCUAGAUGGAUCCGCGCUGCAUUAGCUAGUUGGUAAGGUAACGGCUUACCAAGGCAACGAUGCAUAGCCGACCUGAGAGGGGGAUCGGCCACACUGGAACUGAGACACGGUCCAGACUCCUACGGGAGGCAGCAGUAGGGAAUCUUCCGCAAUGGGCGAAAGCCUGACGGAGCAACGCCGCGUGAGUGAUGAAGGUCUUCGGAUCGGAAAACUCUGUUAUGAGGGAAGAACAUAUGUGUAAGUAACUGUGCACAGCGUGACGGUACCUAAUCAGAAAGCCACGGCUAACUACGUG